CAGGACGAACGCUGGCGGCGUGCCUAACACAUGCAAGUCGAACGGACGAGGGAGCUUGCUCCCCAAGUAGUGGCGGACGGGUGAGUAACACGUGAGCAACCUGCCCUUCGGAGGGGGACAACAGCCGGAAACGGCUGCUAAUACCGCAUGACAUAUCCUUGAGGCAUCUCGGGGAUAUCAAAGAUUUAUCGCCGAAGGAUGGGCUCGCGUCUGAUUAGCUGGUUGGUGAGGUAACGGCUCACCAAGGCGACGAUCAGUAGCCGGACUGAGAGGUUGAACGGCCACAUUGGGACUGAGAUACGGCCCAGACUCCUACGGGAGGCAGCAGUGGGGAAUAUUGGGCAAUGGGGGGCCAACCCUGACCCAGCAACGCCGCGUGAAGGAAGAAGGCUUUCGGGUUGUAAACUUCUUUGACGAGGGACGAUAAUGACGGUACCUCGAAAACAAGCCACGGCUAACUACGUGCCAGCCGCUGC
Molecule: ribosomal RNA, 476 nt
Filed under: uncultured bacterium
Lineage: Bacteria
Description: bacterial SSU rRNA
Rfam family: Bacterial small subunit ribosomal RNA
Source: RNAcentral